Trichosurus vulpecula (common brushtail) is the source of this 275-nucleotide long non-coding RNA. RefSeq lists it as uncharacterized. The record is from RefSeq and is a predicted model, not a curated record. NCBI's taxonomy places the organism in Eukaryota, Metazoa, Chordata, Mammalia, Diprotodontia, Phalangeridae. The transcript has 3 exons.
CAAGGUUACCUCCUCACAGCAUUGGCACAUCUUCAUCUUCAUUGUUUGGCACUUCCAGAAAUUUCCUUUUAGAAUUGAAACCAUUGGCUAUGGUCCUGUGGAGCCCCAGGAGCAGCAGUGACCUGAGGGGAACCAGGAUAAACCCAUCAGAGACUCAAGUUUCCAGAGGACACAGGGACCAAGUCCUCAGCUGCAUGGCAGAUCAAGAGAGUGAGGUCUCCUGGAGGGAACAGGGUUGUUGAGAAGUCUGGUAUCUGCCACAGCUCACUGAUUCA